Molecule: ribosomal RNA, 1343 nt
Filed under: uncultured bacterium
Lineage: Bacteria
Description: 16S ribosomal RNA
Rfam family: Bacterial small subunit ribosomal RNA
Source: RNAcentral
GACGAACGCUGGCGGCGUGCUUAACACAUGCAAGUCGAACGGAAAGGCCCUGCUUUUGUGGGGUGCUCGAGUGGCGAACGGGUGAGUAACACGUGAGUAACCUGCCCUUGACUUUGGGAUAACUUCAGGAAACUGGGGCUAAUACCGGAUAGGAGCUCCUGCUGCAUGGUGGGGGUUGGAAAGUUUCGGCGGUUGGGGAUGGACUCGCGGCUUAUCAGCUUGUUGGUGGGGUAGUGGCUUACCAAGGCUUUGACGGGUAGCCGGCCUGAGAGGGUGACCGGCCACAUUGGGACUGAGAUACAGCCCAGACUCCUACGGGAGGCAGCAGUGGGGAAUAUUGCACAAUGGGCGGAAGCCUGAUGCAGCAACGCCGCGUGCGGGAUGACGGCCUUCGGGUUGUAAACCGCUUCCGCCUGUGACGAAGCGUGAGUGACGGUAAUGGGUAAAGAAGCACCGGCUAACUACGUGCCAGCAGCCGCGGUGAUACGUAGGGUGCGAGCGUUGUCCGGAUUUAUUGGGCGUAAAGGGCUCGUAGGUGGUUGAUCGCGUCGGAAGUGUAAUCUUGGGGCUUAACCCUGAGCGUGCUUUCGAUACGGGUUGACUUGAGGAAGGUAGGGGAGAAUGGAAUUCCUGGUGGAGCGGUGGAAUGCGCAGAUAUCAGGAGGAACACCAGUGGCGAAGGCGGUUCUCUGGGCCUUUCCUGACGCUGAGGAGCGAAAGCGUGGGGAGCGAACAGGCUUAGAUACCCUGGUAGUCCACGCUGUAAACGGUGGGUACUAGGUGUGGGGUCCAUUCCACGGGUUCCGUGCCGUAGCUAACGCUUUAAGUACCCCGCCUGGGGAGUACGGCCGCAAGGCUAAAACUCAAAGGAAUUGACGGGGCCCCGCACAAGCGGCGGAGCAUGCGGAUUAAUUCGAUGCAACGCGUAGAACCUUACCUGGGUUUGACAUGGAUCGGGAGUGCUCAGAGAUGGGUGUGCCUCUUUUGGGGUCGGUUCACAGGUGGUGCAUGGCUGUCGUCAGCUCGUGUCGUGAGAUGUUGGGUUAAGUCCCGCAACGAGCGCAACCCUUGUUCACUGUUGCCAGCACGUUAUGGUGGGGACUCAGUGGAGACCGCCGGGGUCAACUCGGAGGAAGGUGGGGAUGACGUCAAGUCAUCAUGCCCCUUAUGUCCAGGGCUUCACGCAUGCUACAAUGGCUGGUACAGAGAGUGGCGAGCCUGUGAGGGUGAGCGAAUCUCGGAAAGCCGGUCUCAGUUCGGAUUGGGGUCUGCAACUCGACCUCAUGAAGUCGGAGUCGCUAGUAAUCGCAGAUCAGCAACGCUGCGGUGAAUACGUUCCCGGG